UAAAUAAUUAGGCAUUACGAAACUCUCAGC
RNAcentral lists this non-coding RNA (30 nucleotides) under Rattus norvegicus (Norway rat). The record is from RNAcentral. Lineage: Eukaryota; Metazoa; Chordata; Mammalia; Rodentia; Muridae.